Non-coding RNA from Misgurnus anguillicaudatus (oriental weatherfish), 433 nucleotides. The record is from RefSeq and is a predicted model, not a curated record. Lineage: Eukaryota; Metazoa; Chordata; Actinopteri; Cypriniformes; Cobitidae.
GUUUUCAUAUGUGAGGUAAUCUUACUGGGAGUGAAGACAGUGCGUAUGGCCGCUUGAUACGAGAGACACAUUCUAUUUUUAAAGGUCAACAUACUGUAAGCUUCAUUCCCUUUAAAGCAGAGUUUUCAUAUGUGAGGUAAUCUUGCUGGGAGUGAAGGCAGUCCGUAUGACCACUUGAUAUGAAAGACACAUCCUGUUUUUAAAGGUGAUGUAGGCAUGUUACUUUCAAUGCUGGCAUUAAAAUAAUAGUUAUUUACUGUUUAAACAUUUUGGAGAUUGUGUGUGUGAUCUUGUGGCACAUUUACUUGUGAUAACAGAAUUAUUUUUGUCUAUCUGUUGUAGGUGGAUCAUGAGUGAAGCUCUGCAGGUCUGCCAUUGGCUUGAUAACAGUGGUUUAUGUGAAUUGAGUGAAUUCAAUUUAUAAAUAAAUCUU